Molecule: ribosomal RNA, 469 nt
Filed under: uncultured Gammaproteobacteria bacterium
Lineage: Bacteria; Pseudomonadati; Pseudomonadota; Gammaproteobacteria
Description: bacterial SSU rRNA
Rfam family: Bacterial small subunit ribosomal RNA
Source: RNAcentral
GCCUAACACAUGCAAGUCGAGCGGAAACGACACUAACAAUCCUUCGGGUGCGUUAAUGGGCGUCGAGCGGCGGACGGGUGAGUAAUGCCUAGGAAAUUGCCUUGAUGUGGGGGAUAACCAUUGGAAACGAUGGCUAAUACCGCAUAAUGCCUACGGGCCAAAGAGGGGGACCUUCGGGCCUCUCGCGUCAAGAUAUGCCUAGGUGGGAUUAGCUAGUUGGUGAGGUAAUGGCUCACCAAGGCGACGAUCCCUAGCUGGUCUGAGAGGAUGAUCAGCCACACUGGAACUGAGACACGGUCCAGACUCCUACGGGAGGCAGCAGUGGGGAAUAUUGCACAAUGGGCGAAAGCCUGAUGCAGUCAUGCCGCGUGUAUGAAGAAGGCCUUCGGGUUGUAAAGUACUUUCAGUUGUGAGGAAGGGGGUAGCGUUAAUAGCGCUGUAUCUUGACGUUAGCAACAGAAGAAGCACC